CUCUCUUUUGGUUCUUUAAUAGCUUUAGACUUUAGUAUACACACAAGGAGAUUGAAGGUGGUGGAUGACACUCAAAUGCCAAGGAAAUAGCGGAAAUUAGGAAGCUUAAACAACCUUCGCAUUCAACGUAUACUUGCUCUGUCUUUUGUUCAUAAAAUGCUAUGUUUUCUGUUUCGGUUCAAU
This is a non-coding RNA of Arabidopsis thaliana (thale cress), 183 nucleotides long. The record is from RefSeq. Lineage: Eukaryota; Viridiplantae; Streptophyta; Magnoliopsida; Brassicales; Brassicaceae.